Molecule: ribosomal RNA, 429 nt
Filed under: Bacteroidota bacterium
Lineage: Bacteria; Pseudomonadati; Bacteroidota
Description: Bacteroidetes bacterium partial 16S ribosomal RNA
Rfam family: Bacterial small subunit ribosomal RNA
Source: RNAcentral
UAGGGAAUCUUCCGCAAUGGACGCAAGUCUGACGGAGCAACGCCGCGGGAGUGAAGAAGGAUUUCGGUUCGUAAAACUCUGUUGUUAGAGAAGAACAGCGCAUAGAGUAACUGUUAUGCGUGUGACGGUAUCUAACCAGAAAGCCACGGCUAACUACGUGCCAGCAGCCGCGGUAAUACGUAGGUGGCAAGCGUUGUCCGGAUUUAUUGGGCGUAAAGCGAGCGCAGGCGGUCAAUUAAGUCUGAUGUGAAAGCCCCCGGCUCAACCGGGGAGGGUCAUUGGCAACUGGUUGACUUGAGUGCCGAAGAGGAGAGUGGAAUUCCAUGUGUAGCGGUGAAAUUCGUAGAUAUAUGGAGGAACACCAGUGGCGAAGGCGACUCUCUGGUCUGUAACUGACGCUGAGGCUCGAAAGCGUGGGUAGCAAACAGG